This 1401-nucleotide long non-coding RNA is filed under the name Homo sapiens (human). RNAcentral describes it as "HSALNT0092574". The record is from RNAcentral. Lineage: Eukaryota; Metazoa; Chordata; Mammalia; Primates; Hominidae.
GCGGCGGCGCGCGCUGCACAGUCACCGGGAGUUGCGCGCCGCAGCCGCGGGGAGACAUACACCGGCCCGCCGGGCCCGGCUCAGCGUCGGCGCAGCAGGCUACGCACGGCUCCGCCACCGCCCGGGGCCCUCGCACUGCGCCACGCUUCGCUCCAAGUUACUUUGGCGGCCGGUGGGAAACUGCAGGAGAAGGGCGACGUGCUGAUAGAGGGCUUCGCGCUUGUGGUCCCGGGAGUCUGAGAACCCCUUUCCUCAGCCUCCUCUGUGCCUUAGCGGGGCGACCCCCAGAAAUCUCAGAGGAGUCGUAAGUGCUGCGGUACCGGGCGGUGCGCCGAGAAGGGUGGGGAUCCGGAGCCGCAACCCAGCCUUGUCGGUGUCCUGGAACUGGUUAAGCGGCAGCUGCGCCGGCUUUCGAAGCGGUCUUGCCUCGAAAACCUCAAAGAAAAGUUUGGCUCUUCGCGUCUUCCGGCAGGUCCCCCAGCAGAGUCGGAACGCGGCGGUAGCGGAAGAGGGCACCCCGGGGGCUGGCCGAGCCUCGGGGAUUUCUCGCGCGUGCUUUCCUUGGCUGGGUGUGGGUGCACCACAGUGAAUGAAGAGCAGAGGUUAAGACCAGCCGGCCUGGCAGAGCUGGGAUUCCUAAACCUGCAAGACGACGCCAACCCAACUGUUCGGCUGGAGAGCGGGAGGGGAAACAAUCACUUUCAAAUGGAUCCCUCCAACUCCUGGAUGGGCCGAUGUCAGUCUCCGAUCGCCUUCCGAGAGGGAGACUGAGCCCCCACACGCGGUGCCAAGAGCCCGGGGUGAGCUCUCAGAAGUGUCCCUGCGACUCCAGCGGGUCCAAGCCUAGCAACUUGUAGAGAUGCAUCAAUCAGUUUGAAAUGGGAAAAGAGGAAAAAAAAAAAGCGCACGAGCGAGUGGCACCUCCCCGAUGACUACAUCAGAAAACCUUCCCGAUCCUCCCGCAGCUGCUCCUCUUUCCCUCCUUAGGCACAGCAGCAACAGAGGUGAAAACCACAAACCGAAUCCUAAAACCCCUACCCAGGCGGGAAAAUAAAUAAACUUGAGUGCAGCAGCAGCAGCACGAGCAGCCCAGGAGGAAUUGAAACGACUGGCAAGAAGUGGAAAGGGUUUUGUAAAAGUCAGUUUUGCAAAAGAGGGGGAAAAAAAGAGAGCGAGAGAAAAAAUGCUUUAUGGGAAAAAAAAUCUCCUCGGGCACGCCCCCUCGUUAAUGACUUGCGUGGAAAGCCGACAGCGGCGGCGACCCAGUGGCAGCAGCCUCAGCAGAGCGCGAGGCCGCACGCGUGAACGUGGACGUGGGCGGGGGGAUGGGGCUCCGCCCGGGCGUGUUGCGCGGGACGCGGGACGGGCGGGCGGCGCGAGCGCGGGUGUGAGCUCCGGACG